This 1258-nucleotide ribosomal RNA is filed under the name Candidatus Phytoplasma trifolii. RNAcentral's name for it is "bacterial SSU rRNA". It matches the Rfam family "Bacterial small subunit ribosomal RNA", at positions 149 to 1403 of the family's 1533-position model. Lineage: Bacteria; Bacillati; Mycoplasmatota; Mollicutes; Acholeplasmatales; Acholeplasmataceae. The record is from RNAcentral.
GAUUGAAACGACUGCUAAGACUGGAUAGGAAACAAAAAGGCAUCUUUUUGUUUUUAAAAGACCUUCUUACGAAGGUAUGCUUAAAGAGGGGCUUGCGCCACAUUAGUUAGUUGGUAGGGUAAAAGCCUACCAAGACGAUGAUGUGUAGCUGGACUGAGAGGUUGAACAGCCACAUUGGGACUGAGACACGGCCCAAACUCCUACGGGAGGCAGCAGUAGGGAAUUUUCGGCAAUGGAGGAAACUCUGACCGAGCAACGCCGCGUGAACGAUGAAGUAUUUCGGUAUGUAAAGUUCUUUUAUUGAAGAAGAAAAAGUAGUGGAAAAACUAUAUUGACGUUAUUCAAUGAAUAAGCCCCGGCUAACUAUGUGCCAGCAGCCGCGGUAAGACAUAGGGGGCGAGCGUUAUCCGGAAUUAUUGGGCGUAAAGGGUGCGUAGGCUGUUAGAUAAGUCUAUAAUUUAAUUUCAGUGCUUAACGCUGUCUUGUUAUAGAAACUGUCUUGACUAGAGUGAGAUAGAGGCAAGCGGAAUUCCAUGUGUAGCGGUAAAAUGUGUAAAUAUAUGGAGGAACACCAGAAGCGUAGGCGGCUUGCUGGGUCUUUACUGACGCUGAGGCACGAAAGCGUGGGUAGCAAACAGGAUUAGAUACCCUGGUAGUCCACGCCGUAAACGAUGAGUACUAAGUGUCGGGGUAAAACUCGGUACUGAAGUUAACACAUUAAGUACUCCGCCUGAGUAGUACGUACGCAAGUAUGAAACUUAAGGGAAUUGACGGGACUCCGCACAAGCGGUGGAUCAUGUUGUUUAAUUCGAAGAUACACGAAAAAUCUUACCAGGUCUUGACAUACUCUGCAAAGCUAUAGAAAUAUAGUGGAGGUUAUCAGGGAUACAGGUGGUGCAUGGUUGUCGUCAGUUCGUGUCGUGAGAUGUUAGGUUAAGUCCUAAAACGAGCGCAACCCUUGUCGUUAAUUGCCAGCACGUAAUGGUGGGGACUUUAGCGAGACUGCCAAUUAAACAUUGGAGGAAGGUGAGGAUUACGUCAAAUCAUCAUGCCCCUUAUGAUCUGGGCUACAAACGUGAUACAAUGGCUGUGACAAAGAGUAGCUGAAACGCGAGUUUUUAGCCAAUCUCAAAAAAGCAGUCUCAGUUCGGAUUGAAGUCUGUAACUCGACUUCAUGAAGUUGGAAUCGCUAGUAAUCGCGAAUCAGCAUGUCGCGGUGAAUACGUUCUCGGGGUUUGUACACACCGCCCGUCAAAUC